Molecule: ribosomal RNA, 497 nt
Filed under: uncultured bacterium
Lineage: Bacteria
Description: partial 16S ribosomal RNA
Rfam family: Bacterial small subunit ribosomal RNA
Source: RNAcentral
GAUGAACGCUGGCGGCGUGCCUAAUACAUGCAAGUCGAGCGAACAGACGAGGAGCUUGCUCCUCUGACGUUAGCGGCGGACGGGUGAGUAACACGUGGAUAACCUACCUAUAAGACUGGGAUAACUUCGGGAAACCGGCGCUAAUACCGGAUAAUAUAUUGAACCGCAUGGUUCAAUAGUGAAAGACGGUUUUGCUGUCACUUAUAGAUGGAUCCGCGCCGCAUUAGCUAGUUGGUAAGGUAACGGCCUACCAAGGCAACGAUGCGUAGCCGACCUGAGAGGGGGAUCGGCCACACUGGAACUGAGACACGGUCCAGACUCCUACGGGAGGCAGCAGUAGGGAAUCUUCCGCAAUGGGCGAAAGCUUGACGGAGCAACGCCGCGUGAGUGAUGAAGGUCUUCGGAUCGUAAAACUCUGUUAUUAGGGAAGAACAAAUGUGUAAGUAACUAUGCACGUCUUGACGGUACCUAAUCAGAAAGCCACGGCUAACUACGUG